AUUGAACGCUGGCGGCAGGCCUAACACAUGCAAGUCGAACGAGUGGCGGACGGGUGAGUAAUGUCUGGGAAACUGCCCGAUGGCGGGGGAUAACUACUGGAAACGGUAGCUAAUCCCGCAUACCAUCGGAUGUGCCCAGAUGGGAUUAGCUAGUAGGUGGGGUAAUGGCUCACCUAGGCGACGAUCCCUCGCUGGUCUGAGAGGAUGACCAGCCACACUGGAACUGAGACACGGUCCAGACUCCUACGGGAGGCAGCAGUGGGGAAUAUUGCACAAGGGGCGCAAGCCUGAUGCAGCCAGGCCGCGUGUGUGAAGAAGGCCUUCGGGUUGUAAAGCACUUUCAGCGGGGAGGCGUUACCCGAAGAAGAAGCACCGGCUAACUCCGUGCCAGCAGCCGCGGUAAUAC
Molecule: ribosomal RNA, 406 nt
Filed under: uncultured bacterium
Lineage: Bacteria
Description: partial 16S ribosomal RNA
Rfam family: Bacterial small subunit ribosomal RNA
Source: RNAcentral